This is a non-coding RNA of Triticum aestivum (bread wheat), 114 nucleotides long. The record is from Rfam. NCBI's taxonomy places the organism in Eukaryota, Viridiplantae, Streptophyta, Magnoliopsida, Poales, Poaceae.
UAUAUACUCCCUCCGUUCGGAAUUACUCAUCGAAGAAAUGAAUGUAUCUAGAUGUAUUUUAGUUGUAGAUACAUCCAUUUUGUGACAAGUAAUUCCGAACGGAGGGAGUAACAU